Molecule: long non-coding RNA, 332 nt
Filed under: Androctonus crassicauda
Lineage: Eukaryota; Metazoa; Arthropoda; Arachnida; Scorpiones; Buthidae
Source: RNAcentral
CAAAAAACGAUUUAAUACACAAGAUUAUCAGAUUUUAAUGCUGGUGUAAUUACACAUUUGAAAAUAACUCGCUGAAAAUUUACAUGAAAAGAUGUGCACCAAACAGAAAUUCUGUUGUUGCUAUAGCGACAGUGUAGAAACGCAGACGCAUGCACUGCGUGCCGCAAUUCGAACAUUUUUAAAAAUGCCGAAUGUUAUUUACAAUGUCACUGAACAAGUAUGGAUGGUUCGGGCACAUAAUUCAAGCUUAUCCUAUAGGCGCAUGAGAGAUUAUUUUGCGGUGCUGUACUCUGGAAGACCUAUUCCAUCCGUGUCAACAAUUAAAUCUGUUG